GACGAACCGUGCGAACGUUAUUCGGAAUCACUGGGCUUAAAGCGCGUGUAGGCGGGAGGGCACGUCCGUUGCUGAAAUCCCCCGGCUCAACCGGGGAACGGGCGCGGAUACGACUCUCCUUGAGGGGCGUAGGGGGACCCGGAACUUCCGGUGGAGCGGUGAAAUGCGUUGAGAUCGGAAGGAACGCCCGUGGCGAAAGCGAGGUCCUGGACGCCUACUGACGCUGAGACGCGAAAGCGUGGGGAGCGAACAGG
RNAcentral lists this ribosomal RNA (254 nucleotides) under uncultured bacterium. RNAcentral's name for it is "partial 16S ribosomal RNA". It matches the Rfam family "Bacterial small subunit ribosomal RNA", at positions 524 to 776 of the family's 1533-position model. The record is from RNAcentral.